Molecule: ribosomal RNA, 471 nt
Filed under: uncultured bacterium
Lineage: Bacteria
Description: partial 16S ribosomal RNA
Rfam family: Bacterial small subunit ribosomal RNA
Source: RNAcentral
GACGAACGCUGGCGGCGUGCUUAACACAUGCAAGUCGAACGGUGAAGCCUAGCUUGCUAGGUGGAUUAGUGGCGAACGGGUGAGUAAUACGUGAGUAACCUACCUUUAACUCUGGGAUAAGCCUGGGAAACUGGGUCUAAUACCGGAUACGACCAAUCUCCGCAUGGGGUGUUGGUGGAAAGCGUUAUGUAGUGGUUAUAGAUGGGCUCACGGCCUAUCAGCUUGUUGGUGAGGUAACGGCUCACCAAGGCGACGACGGGUAGCCGGCCUGAGAGGGUGACCGGCCACACUGGGACUGAGACACGGCCCAGACUCCUACGGGAGGCAGCAGUGGGGAAUAUUGCACAAUGGGCGCAAGCCUGAUGCAGCGACGCCGCGUGAGGGAUGACGGCCUUCGGGUUGUAUGCCUCUGUUAGCAGGGAAGAAGAGAGAUUGACGGUACCUGCAGAGAAAGCGCCGGCUAACUACGUG